RNAcentral lists this microRNA precursor (138 nucleotides) under Glycine max (soybean). RNAcentral's name for it is "miR5762 stem-loop (gma-MIR5762)". Lineage: Eukaryota; Viridiplantae; Streptophyta; Magnoliopsida; Fabales; Fabaceae. The record is from miRBase by way of RNAcentral.
UGUUAGACCAGUCAGCUGAAUCCUCUUAUGAUCAAGAGCUGUAAUGCAUAUCAGUUUUGUUAUCAGUUUGAACCGUAUUUUCUUUGAAUUACCGUAACAGCCCUUCAUCAUAGGAGGAAUCAACUGGCUGGUCUAACA